ACCAAGAGGUUGAUAUCAGACCGUUUGUCCACUGUGUCCCCUAGAGGUCUGAACCAAGAGGUUGAUAUCAGACCGUUUGUCCACUGUGUCCCCUAGAGGUCUGAACCAAGAGGUUGAUAUCAGACCGUUUGUCCACUGUGUCCCCUAGAGGUCUGAACCAAGAGGUUGAUAUCAGACCGUUUGUCCACUGUGUCCCCUAGAGGUCUGAACCAAGAGGUUGAUAUCAGACCGUUUGUCCACUGUGUCCCCUAGAGGUCUGAACCAAGAGGUUGAUAUCAGACCGUUUGUCCACUGUGUCCCCUAGAGGUCUGAACCAAGAGGUUGAUAUCAGACCGUUUGUCCACUGUGUCCCCUAGAGGUCUGAACCAAGAGGUUGAUAUCAGACCGUUUGUCCACUGUGUCCCCUAGAGGUCUGAACCAAGAGGUUGAUAUCAGACCGUUUGUCCACUGUGUCCCCUAGAGGUCUGAACCAAGAGGUUGAUAUCAGACCGUUUGUCCACUGUGUCCCCUAGAGGUCUGAACCAAGAGGUUGAUAUCAGACCGUUUGUCCACUGUGUCCCCUAGAGGUCUGAACCAAGAGGUUGAUAUCAGACCGUUUGUCCACUGUGUCCCCUAGAGGUCUGAACCAAGAGGUUGAUAUCAGACCGUUUGUCCACUGUGUCCCCUAGAGGUCUGAACCAAGAGGUUGAUAUCAGACCGUUUGUCCACUGUGUCCCCUAGAGGUCUGAACCAAGAGGUUGAUAUCAGACCGUUUGUCCACUGUGUCCCCUAGAGGUCUGAACCAAGAGGUUGAUAUCAGACCGUUUGUCCACUGUGUCCCCUAGAGGUCUGAACCAAGAGGUUGAUAUCAGACCGUUUGUCCACUGUGUCCCCUAGA
This is a long non-coding RNA of Oncorhynchus keta (chum salmon), 877 nucleotides long. RefSeq lists it as uncharacterized. The transcript is spliced from 3 exons. NCBI's taxonomy places the organism in Eukaryota, Metazoa, Chordata, Actinopteri, Salmoniformes, Salmonidae. The record is from RefSeq and is a predicted model, not a curated record.